This 684-nucleotide long non-coding RNA is filed under the name Panax ginseng (ginseng). Its description in RNAcentral is "long non-coding RNA (PGIN_LNC007436)". Lineage: Eukaryota; Viridiplantae; Streptophyta; Magnoliopsida; Apiales; Araliaceae. The record is from RNAcentral.
GGAAAAAAAAUCUUAUACCAGAAUGUAAAUUAAAUUUCAAAUUACACAGGACAGCAUCUAGCAAUCCAUCACAAUGCUUCACAUAAACAAACUGUAAUAUUUCAUUACAUGACUAAAAUACACCGUAGAAUUGAUAUUGAUUAAUAAAAAUACAGAUCAGAAAAGGAACAUUGAUAGACUCCACGGCACGCUUGCGUGAGGUGGUCGUCGCCCGGACCGUUUCUAGCACAGUUGUUGGGUGAAUUGCUUGCAACACCUUAACCCCUCGUCUAUACUUUAGACGGUAAUCUUGGUACAAUUGCUCGCGUUUGGAAAUCUGCGUUGAAUGGACACCAACGACACCUUGACCCCUCGCUUAUAUUGAAGCGGUAAUCUCGGUACAAUCGACGAUUGAUGCGGUAGAAGACGCCACACACAACUAUGAAUUGUUGUAUGAUAAGUCAAAUUGAAUCUCAAAGAAAAAAACUAAGAAACUACUAAUUUCUUAGGAAUUCUUCAAAGAACCAAAAGUAGAGAAUAAACUCUCAAUUAUAUUGAAUAAAAAAUAAUGUAUUAAUUACAUAACUUGGACCUCUAUUUAUACUACUCAAAAUCAUCCAAAUCCUAAUAGGAAUAAACUAUAACCCUAAUUGAAAAAAAUCCUAAUUACAAUAGAAUUUAAAAAAAUACAAUAAAACUCUUCGC